CCUACGGGAGGCUGCAGUGGGGAAUAUUGGGCAAUGGGCGCAAGCCUGACCCAGCAACGCCGCGUGAAGGAAGAAGGCUUUCGGGUUGUAAACUUCUUUUCUGAGGGACGAAGAAAGUGACGGUACCUCAGGAAUAAGCCACGGCUAACUACGUGCCAGCAGCCGCGGUAAUACGUAGGUGGCAAGCGUUAUCCGGAUUUAUUGGGUUAAAAGGGUGCGCAGGCGGAAGAUCAAGUCAGCGGUAAAAUUGAGAGGCUCAACCUCUUCGAGCCGUUGAAACUGGUUUUCUUGAGUGAGUGAGAAGUAUGCGGAAUGCGUGGUGUAGCGGUGAAAUGCAUAGAUAUCACGCAGAACUCCGAUUGCGAAGGCAGUUCACUGGACUGCAACUGACACUGAGGCUCGAAAGUGUGGGUAUCAAACAGGAUUAGAUACCCCUGUAGUC
This 442-nucleotide ribosomal RNA is filed under the name uncultured bacterium. RNAcentral describes it as "partial 16S ribosomal RNA". It matches the Rfam family "Bacterial small subunit ribosomal RNA", at positions 338 to 795 of the family's 1533-position model. The record is from RNAcentral.